CAUAAGGGAAUAUACACUAUGCAAAAGCUGGACAUGAGCAAGAAAAAGAAAGAGUUGGGAGUGUGUGUUUGCGUUAAUCUGCUCAGACUACCACCACAACAGCUAUCACCACUAGGGCGUGUUUAGGACUCAAGAAUGCCAAGAUCAGGGUGUUGGCAAGGCUGUUUUUUCCUGAGGCCUCUCCUUGACUUGUAGAUGGUUAUCUUCUUUCUGUGUCUGUUGUGUCUAUCUUUGUCCUAAUAUUCUCUUACCAGUCAAAUUGAAUUAGGGCUCACCAUAAUCGUUUCAUUUUAGUGAGUUGUGUUUUUAAACCUGUAUUCAAAGUAG
Perognathus longimembris pacificus (Pacific pocket mouse) is the source of this 327-nucleotide long non-coding RNA. RefSeq lists it as uncharacterized. The record is from RefSeq and is a predicted model, not a curated record. The transcript has 3 exons. Lineage: Eukaryota; Metazoa; Chordata; Mammalia; Rodentia; Heteromyidae.